This 447-nucleotide ribosomal RNA is filed under the name uncultured bacterium. RNAcentral describes it as "bacterial SSU rRNA". It matches the Rfam family "Bacterial small subunit ribosomal RNA", at positions 330 to 792 of the family's 1533-position model. The record is from RNAcentral.
GCCAGACUCCUACGGGAGGCAGCAGUGGGGAAUAUUGGGCAAUGGGCGCAAGCCUGACCCAGCAACGCCGCGUGAAGGAAGAAGGCUUUCGGGUUGUAAACUUCUUUUCUCGGGGACGAAUAGAUGACGGUACCUGAGGAAUAAGCCACGGCUAACUACGUGCCAGCAGCCGCGGUAAUACGUAGGUGGCAAGCGUUGUCCGGAAUUACUGGGCGUAAAGGGCGCGUAGGUGGGCGCUUAAGUCAGGUGUGAAAACUCCGGGCUCAACCUGGAGACUGCACUUGAAACUGGGUGUCUUGAGGGCAGGAGAGGAAAGUGGAAUUCCUAGUGUAGCGGUGAAAUGCGUAGAUAUCGGGAGGAACACCAGUGGCGAAGGCGGUUUACUGGACCACAACUGACGCUGAGACACGAAAGCGUGGGGAGCAAACAGGAUUAGAUACCCCAGUA